RNAcentral lists this ribosomal RNA (460 nucleotides) under uncultured bacterium. RNAcentral's name for it is "partial 16S ribosomal RNA". It matches the Rfam family "Bacterial small subunit ribosomal RNA", at positions 338 to 795 of the family's 1533-position model. The record is from RNAcentral.
CCUACGGGAGGCAGCAGUGAGGAAUAUUGGUCAAUGGCCGGAAGGCUGAACCAGCCAUGCCGCGUGAAGGUCAGUGCCCUAUGGGCGUUAAACUUCUUUUGUGCGGGAGCAAUAAUGGUCACGUGUGGCCAGACGAGAGUACCGUACGAAUAAGCAUCGGCUAACUCCGUGCCAGCAGCCGCGGUAAUACGGGGGAUGCAAGCGUUAUCCGGAGUUAUUGGGGUUAAAGGGUGCGUAGGCUGUGAGGUAAGUCAGCGGUGAAAUGCCCCCGCUCAACGGGGUGAAGUGCCAUUGAUACUGGCUUGCUGGAAUGCGGAUGCCGUGGGAGGAAUGUGUGGUGUAGCGGUGAAAUGCAUAGAUAUCACACAGAACACCGAUUGCGAAGGCAUCUCACGAAUCCGCGAUUGACGCUGAUGCACGAAAGCGUGGGUAUCAAACAGGAUUAGAUACCCCAGUAGUC